Molecule: ribosomal RNA, 388 nt
Filed under: uncultured bacterium
Lineage: Bacteria
Description: bacterial SSU rRNA
Rfam family: Bacterial small subunit ribosomal RNA
Source: RNAcentral
GACGAACGCUGGCGGCGUGCUUAACACAUGCAAGUCGAGCGGUAAGGCCCUUUCGGGGGUACACGAGCGGCGAACGGGUGAGUAACACGUGGGUGACCUGCCCUCAGCUCUGGGAUAAGCCUGGGAAACCGGGUCUAAUACUGGAUAUGACUCCAUGACGCAUGUUGUGGGGUGGAAAGCCUUGUGCGGCUGAGGAUGGGCCCGCGGCCUAUCAGCUUGUUGGUGGGGUGANGGCCUACCAAGGCGACGACGGGUAGCCGGCCUGAGAGGGCGACCGGCCACACUGGGACUGAGACACGGCCCAGACUCCUACGGGAGGGCAGCAGUGGGGAAUCUUGCGCAAUGGGCAAAGCCUGACGCAGCGACGCCGCGUGAGGGAUGACGGCCU